Molecule: ribosomal RNA, 500 nt
Filed under: uncultured Actinomycetes bacterium
Lineage: Bacteria; Bacillati; Actinomycetota; Actinomycetes
Description: bacterial SSU rRNA
Rfam family: Bacterial small subunit ribosomal RNA
Source: RNAcentral
CCUGAUGCAGCGACGCCGCGUGAGAGAUGACGGCCUUCGGGUUGUAAACCUCUUUCAGCAGGGAAGAAGCGCAAGUGACGGUACCUGUAGAAGAAGCACCGGCCAACUACGUGCCAGCAGCCGCGGUAAUACGUAGGGUGCGAGCGUUGUCCGGAAUUAUUGGGCGUAAAGAGCUCGUAGGCGGUCUGUCGCGUCGAAUGUGAAAACCCGGGGCUCAACUCCGGGCUUGCAUUCAAUACGGGCAGGCUAGAGUUCGGUAGGGGAGUCUGGAAUUCCUGGUGUAGCGGUGAAAUGCGCAGAUAUCAGGAGGAACACCGGUGGCGAAGGCGGGACUCUGGACCGAUACUGACGCUGAGGAGCGAAAGCGUGGGGAGCGAACAGGAUUAGAUACCCUGGUAGUCCACGCCGUAAACGUUGGGCGCUAGGUGUGGGGGUCCUUCCACGAUCUCCGUGCCGCAGCUAACGCAUUAAGCGCCCCGCCUGGGGAGUACGGCCGCAAG